Molecule: ribosomal RNA, 253 nt
Filed under: uncultured bacterium
Lineage: Bacteria
Description: partial 16S ribosomal RNA
Rfam family: Bacterial small subunit ribosomal RNA
Source: RNAcentral
UACGGGGGGGGUAAGCGUUGUUCGGAAUUACUGGGCGUAAAGGGCUCGUAGGCGGCCAACUAAGUCAGACGUGAAAUCCCUCAGCUUAACUGGGGAACUGCGUCUGAUACUGGAUGGCUUGGAUCCGGGAGAGGGAUGCGGAAUUCCAGGUGUAGCGGUGAAAUGCGUAGAUAUCUGGAGGAACACCGGUGGCGAAGGCGGCAUCCUGGACCGGUAUUGACGCUGAGGAGCGAAAGCUAGGGUAGCAAACGGG